GUUAAUGCUUUUUAAUUCACUCUGUUUCCCAGUUGUCGUUUUUUAUUGAAAAGGCGGAUUCUGCCGGUGUGUGUUCCUUUGCGGGGGCGGGGUGGGGGGUGCUUCACCAACAGAGAUCCGAGGAGAGGCAGAGACAGAGACAAAGGCGGUGCGAGACACCGGGCAAGGAGUCAAUAGGGUCAGAGAGCGAGAAAGAAGAGAGACUGGAAACGGGAGCCGGGACAGGGGGACACACAGAGACCCCAAGAAAGGGGAAGGGAGGGAAGAGCAAGUGUGCUGAGAAAUCCUGCUCCGGGGGAUCCAGGGCGGACCCUGCCACCUCCAGCUCCUGGGGCUUUCUCCGGCUCUCUGGUUCCCUUCCGCGUAGACUAGGCGAGUUGGGCGCCGGGAGUGGACUGGAAGUCGCCACGGACCGAGUACGCAGGACCAGGGUCUUCGAGGGCUAGGGAUCCGCGAUCCGACAAAGAGGACCCGGGAGUCGGAAGCGUUCCGCUCCUGCCUCCGCAGUUCCGUUUUAGAGCCGACCCCAAUCCUGCGCUGCGGUUCCCCUGGCCUGCUGCGCCGCCUGGAACAAGCGCCCCGACCUCUCUGAGCCCUGGCUCUGCCACCUGUGGACAGAGAGGCCUGCUGCUGGCCGAGGGGCUAAACGGCUCGAGGGCGUGGGGAGCAGAGCUGCGUCAACACCGCGGCUCCGCGGUUAGGGCAGAAAUCCUGGGAUUUUCGGUCUGGGCCGCUGCCCCGGGGUGGUGGUGGGGGCUCAUGUUUAUGCAGGACUGGCGGGGACGGGAGACAGCGGGGCCCGGGCGCUUCCUUCCUUCGCAGCUGAGAACCAUUUGGUUCUCCUCCCACCGCGCCACCGCCCCUCUCCCUUUCCGCGCCAGGUUCGUGCUCAGACGCGUGAGUGUGAACACACACCCGCGGACACACAAAGACGCUCACAGCCCAGCACGUGGCGGAGGUGUAGACGCUGGGUGGUGGCGUGGGCACACAGGCGACGCGAGGUCCUGGGGACUGGGAUAGAGCCGGUUCCCUGGGCGGAGAGGGUGCGUUCAACCGGCGCGGCUCUCAGGCCUGGAGCCUAAGAACUGAAAAAGCCCGGGAUAAUUAGAGCUAAUUACACGUGUGCACACAGCUGCAGCCUCGGGCGCAGGCGAGGGGGCCGUACGGGCCACCCCUCCCGCGGCCUGACCCCCGCGAUCCUGCCCAGCGUGGGGAGGGGGUGGAGUGGCGCAUCUGGGUGCGGGUCGGAAGAGGCAGGGUGGGAUCCCGCGGGCGGAGAGGCCCCGGCGUCCGGAGUCGGGGUGAGCCCUCUGCCUCCAAAGAGAGGCCCUCAUCACACCCGGGUGCAGCCAGGGACGCCCAGGGAUGGCAGUGUGGCCGAGCUAGAAGCUAGGACCAGAAUUGGGGUCCGAGUACCCUUGGCCUUAUGCUGAGCGGGCCCAAGCGGGAGGUCCGGAGCUUAUGGGCUUCGAUAGUUUCAGACUCCUGAGCACUCCGGUCUCUGCAGAAGGCUCAUGCGUACCCAGUCGGCAGAGGUCAGUGCUGCCAGGGACCUGAGGCCGCUGGACCAGGAAGGGACAGUCCGGUGCUGGUGUCAGGAGACCAUUCCGUGUAUGCCCGAAUGAGCCACAAGACCCCCGAAAGGGCGACCUCUCUGAGCCUUCGUUUGCGCUUCUGUAAAAUGGGAAUGCGGAGAUCCCUGCGUGCUGACUCCGAGGGGCUUCGGAUGCAGAGUCCAAAAAGAGUGAGAAAGGAGCGAAUUUCUACGUGUGGAUGAGGGUUUAGAGUUUGCACUGCUAGUCUGAAUCAGCGUUCUCAUUUUGUGGUUUCAGGAGCCUUUGGCGGACUGGGUUAGAGCAGCAUCGGUGGAGGGAGUUAUAUUUUUGUAUUUUAUAACUGACGCUCAGAGAGGUCGAACGUCUCAGGGCAGGUCACACAGCGGGAAGAGGCAGCUGACUUUCCGGACUUCACAUUUCAAAUUCAGACUCGGCGCAACUCUCCUCCACCCGUCCUGGUCGCCCCUGGAACCCGGGCACCCCCCGGCGCUCUGCGGAGCCUGGUUGCUGUAAGAGUACGGAACGCGAUCUCUCGCGGUGGGUUCCGCCGCCCCAGCUCGCUGUGAGCCCAUGGCGCCCCCUUGCGCUCGUGGCCGGAGGCGCACCCGGCUCCUGGCCUGGCCCCUGCCGUCUAGCAUCUGACUCCUCCGCCUCAGUUUGCGAUGAUGCUGGAGAGGGUUGAUGAGCUUCAGACAGGGUGACUGGAGGUCACACAGGGAUGCGCUUCGUAUACCGUGUACUUCGUAAACUGUAAAGCAUGAGAGCACAUCCUGGUAUGGGGUCUCACAGAGUCGGACACGACUGAAGCGACUUAGCAGCAGCAGCAGCAGCAGCAGAGGUACAAUGUGGCUGGGCCUCCAAGCCCCUUCCUUCUCCCAGUUCCAACGCUGCAAUGGCUCAACAAAGAAUAACUUCUUCAUCUGCCAGAUGGGGCAGUCUGGCAGGCUUCCUGGAAGAAGUGGAUUGAACUUGCAGGACUAAUAGAGGGGAAUUAGGGCAACAGCUGGCUAGAGGCUGAAAGGUGGAGACUGAGACAGAGGAAGACCCUCCAGUGAUUAUGGGUGGUAUGGCAGGGACUUGGGGGUCCUGCUCCAGUCUGCCCCUGAAACACACACAACCCAGGACUGGAAAUGGGGACCAGGGGGACUAC
Molecule: long non-coding RNA, 2706 nt
Organism: Bos taurus (domestic cattle)
Lineage: Eukaryota; Metazoa; Chordata; Mammalia; Artiodactyla; Bovidae
Source: Ensembl